Molecule: ribosomal RNA, 401 nt
Filed under: Mantidactylus melanopleura
Lineage: Eukaryota; Metazoa; Chordata; Amphibia; Anura; Mantellidae
Description: partial 16S ribosomal RNA
Rfam family: Bacterial large subunit ribosomal RNA
Source: RNAcentral
UCAGUGAAAUUAAUCUCCCCGUGAAGAAGCGGGGAUACUCAUAUAAGACGAGAAGACCCCAUGGAGCUUCAAACCCAACUACACCCCUAGCUCUUAUAGCCCCACAACCCCCCCUAGGCGCCGUGUGCUUGGUUUUAGGUUGGGGCGACCGCGGAGUACAAUAAAACCUCCACAAUGAAUGGGAACACCCCCUUAUCUGAGGGCCACACCCCCUAAGAAUUAGAACACUAACAUAAAAUGAUCCAUUACUUGAUCAAUGAACCAAGUUACCCUGGGGAUAACAGCGCAAUCCAUUUCAAGAGCCCCUAUCGACAAAUGGGUUUACGACCUCGAUGUUGGAUCAGGGUACCCCAGUGGUGCAGCAGCUACUAACGGUUCGUUUGUUCAACGAUUAAAACCCU